Molecule: ribosomal RNA, 1165 nt
Filed under: Leuconostoc mesenteroides
Lineage: Bacteria; Bacillati; Bacillota; Bacilli; Lactobacillales; Lactobacillaceae
Description: bacterial SSU rRNA
Rfam family: Bacterial small subunit ribosomal RNA
Source: RNAcentral
GCGUAUUACGGGUGCCAUACAUGCAGUCGAACGCACAGCGAAAGGUGCUUGCACCUUUCAAGUGAGUGGCGAACGGGUGAGUAACACGUGGACAACCUGCCUCAAGGCUGGGGAUAACAUUUGGAAACAGAUGCUAAUACCGAAUAAAACUUAGUGUCGCAUGACACAAAGUUAAAAGGCGCUUCGGCGUCACCUAGAGAUGGAUCCGCGGUGCAUUAGUUAGUUGGUGGGGUAAAGGCCUACCAAGACAAUGAUGCAUAGCCGAGUUGAGAGACUGAUCGGCCACAUUGGGACUGAGACACGGCCCAAACUCCUACGGGAGGCUGCAGUAGGGAAUCUUCCACAAUGGGCGAAAGCCUGAUGGAGCAACGCCGCGUGUGUGAUGAAGGCUUUCGGGUCGUAAAGCACUGUUGUAUGGGAAGAACAGCUAGAAUAGGAAAUGAUUUUAGUUUGACGGUACCAUACCAGAAAGGGACGGCUAAAUACGUGCCAGCAGCCGCGGUAAUACGUAUGUCCCGAGCGUUAUCCGGAUUUAUUGGGCGUAAAGCGAGCGCAGACGGUUUAUUAAGUCUGAUGUGAAAGCCCGGAGCUCAACUCCGGAAUGGCAUUGGAAACUGGUUAACUUGAGUGCAGUAGAGGUAAGUGGAACUCCAUGUGUAGCGGUGGAAUGCGUAGAUAUAUGGAAGAACACCAGUGGCGAAGGCGGCUUACUGGACUGCAACUGACGUUGAGGCUCGAAAGUGUGGGUAGCAAACAGGAUUAGAUACCCUGGUAGUCCACACCGUAAACGAUGAACACUAGGUGUUUAGGAGGUUUCCGCCUCUUAGUGCCGAAGCUAACGCAUUAAGUGUUCCGCCUGGGGAGUACGACCGCAAGGUUGAAACUCAAAGGAAUUGACGGGGACCCGCACAAGCGGUGGAGCAUGUGGUUUAAUUCGAAGCAACGCGAAGAACCUUACCAGGUCUUGACAUCCUUUGAAGCUUUUGAAGAUAGAAGUGUUCUCUUCGGAGACAAAGUGACAGGUGGUGCAUGGUCGUCGUCAGCUCGUGUCGUGAGAUGUUGGGUUAAGUCCCGCAACGAGCGCAACCCUUAUUGUUAGUUGCCAGCAUUCAGAUGGGCACUCUAGCGAGACUGCCGGUGACAAACCGGAGGAAGGCGGGGACGA